GAGUUUGAUCAUGGCUCAGAUUGAACGCUGGCGGCAGGCCUAACACAUGCAAGUCGAACGGUAACAGCAGAGCUUGCUCUGGCUGACGAGUGGCGGACUGGUGAGUAACGCGUAGGAAUCUACCCAGUAGUGGGGGACAACUUGGGGAAACUCAAGCUAAUACCGCAUACGCCCUACGGGGGAAAGCGGGGGACCUUCGGGCCUCGUGCUAUUGGAUGAGCCUGCGUUAGAUUCUACCUAGUUGGUAGGGUAAAGGCCUACCAUGGCGACGAUCUUUAGCUGGUUUGAGAGGAUGAUCAGCCACACUGUGACUGAGACACGGCCCAGACUCCUACGGGAGGCAGCAGUGGGGAAUAUUGCACAAUGGGCGCAAGCCUGAUGCAGCCAUGCCGCGUGUGUGAAGAAGGCUCUAGGGUUGUAAAGCACUUUAAGCAGGGAGGAAGGCCUAAUGGUUAAUAACCAUUAGGAUUGAUGUUACCUACAGAAGAAGCACCGGCUAACUCCGUGCCAGCAGCCGCGGUAAUACGGAGGGUGCAAGCGUUAAUCGGAAUUACUGGGCGUAAAGCGCGCGUAGGCGGUUAAUUAAGUCAGAUGUGAAAGCCCCGGGCUCAACCUGGGAACUGCAUUUGAAACUGGUUAACUAGAGUGUGGUAGAGGAGAGUGGAAUUUCAGGUGUAGCGGUGAAAUGCGUAGAGAUCUGAAGGAACACCAGUGGCGAAGGCGGCUCUCUGGACCGAUACUGACACUGAGGUGCGAAAGCGUGGGUAGCAAACAGGAUUAGAUACCCUGGUAGUCCAUGCCGUAAACGAUGUCAACUAGCCGUUGGAAGACUUGAUCUUUUAGUGGCGCAGCUAACGCAAUAAGUUGACCGCCUGGGGAGUACGGUCGCAAGAUUAAAACUCAAAUGAAUUGACGGGGGCCCGCACAAGCGGUGGAGCAUGUGGUUUAAUUCGAUGCAACGCGAAGAACCUUACCUGGUCUUGACAUCCUACGAACUUACUAGAGAUAGUUUGGUGCCUUCGGGAACGUAGUGACAGGUGCUGCAUGGCUGUCGUCAGCUCGUGUUGUGAAAUGUUGGGUUAAGUCCCGUAACGAGCGCAACCCCUAUCCUUAUUUGCCAGCACGUCAUGGUGGGAACUCUAAGGAGACUGCCGGUGAUAAACCGGAGGAAGGUGGGGACGACGUCAAGUCAUCAUGGCCCUUACGGAUUGGGCUACACACGUGCUACAAUGGGCAGUACAGAGGGUCGCGAUCCUGUGAAGGUUAGCUAAUCUCAGAAAGCUGUUCGUAGUCCGGAUUGGAGUCUGCAACUCGACUCCAUGAAGUUGGAAUCGCUAGUAAUCGCGGAUCAGAAUGCCGCGGUGAAUACGUUCCCGGGCCUUGUACACACCGCCCGUCACACCAUGGAAGUGGGUUGCACCAGAAGUAGCUAGACUAACCUUCGGGAGGUCGGUUACCACGGUGUGAUUCAUGACUGGGGUGAAGUCGUAACAAGGUAACC
Molecule: ribosomal RNA, 1501 nt
Filed under: uncultured prokaryote
Description: partial 16S ribosomal RNA
Rfam family: Bacterial small subunit ribosomal RNA
Source: RNAcentral